UCUGGUUGAUCCUGCCGGAGGCCAUUGCUGUUGGGAUCCGACUUAGCCAUGCUAGUUGUACGAGUUCAGACUCGUGGCGAACAGCUCAGUAACACGUGGCCAAGCUACCCUCUGGACCGGAAUAACCUCGGGAAACUGAGAUUAAUGCCGGAUACCGCUCCCGUCCUGGAAGUGGAGGGAGCCGGAAACGCCCCGGCGCCAGAGGAUGCGGCUGCGGCCGAUUAGGUAGACGGUGGGGUAACGGCCCACCGUGCCGAUAAUCGGUACGGGUGGUGAGAGCCAGAACCCGGAGACGGUAUCUGAGACAAGAUACCGGGCCCUACGGGGCGCAGCAGGCGCGAAACCUUUACACUGUGCGCAAGCACGAUAAGGGGAUCCCAAGUGCGAGGGCAUACCGUCCUCGCUUUUCUGUACCGUAAGAAGGUACAGGAAUAGGGGCUGGGCAAGACCGGUGCCAGCCGCCGCGGUAAUACCGGCAGCCCAAGUGAUGGCCGCUAUUAUUGGGCCUAAAGCGUCCGUAGCCGGCCGGAUAAGUCCGUCGGGAAAUCCACCCGCUUAACGGGUGGGCGUCCGGCGGAAACUGUCCGGCUUGGGGCCGGGAGGCCUGAGGGGUACGUCCGGGGUAGGAGUGAAAUCCUGUAAUCCCGGGCGGACCGCCGGUGGCGAAAGCGCCUCAGGAGAACGGACCCGACGGUGAGGGACGAAAGCUAGGGUCUCGAACCGGAUUAGAUACCCGGGUAGUCCUAGCCGUAAACGAUGCUCGCUAGGUGUGGCACAGGCUACGAGCCUGUGCUGUGCCGUAGGGAAGCCGUGAAGCGAGCCGCCUGGGAAGUACGUCCGCAAGGAUGAAACUUAAAGGAAUUGGCGGGGGAGCACUACAACCGGAGGAGCCUGCGGUUUAAUUGGACUCAACGCCGGACAUCUCACCAGCACCGACAGUAGCUGUGAAGGUCAGGUUGAUGAUCUUACUGGAGCUACUGAGAGGAGGUGCAUGGCCGCCGUCAGCUCGUACCGUGAGGCGUCCUGUUAAGUCAGGCAACGAGCGAGACCCGUGUCCGUAGUUGCCAGCAGCACGAACGUGGCUGGGUACACUACGGAGACUGCCUGCGCCAAGCAGGAGGAAGGAGCGGGCAACGGUAGGUCAGUAUGCCCCGAAUGUGCUGGGCGACACGCGGGCUACAAUGGCCGGGACAAUGGGACGCUACCCCGAAAGGGGACGCUAAUCUCCUAAACCCGGUCGUAGUUCGGAUUGAGGGCUGAAACUCGCCCUCAUGAAGCUGGAUUCGGUAGUAAUCGCGCUUCAGUAAAGCGCGGUGAAUACGUCCCUGCUCCUUGCACACACCGCCCGUCAAAUCACCCGAGUGAGGCCUGGAUGAGGCCAUCAGCCGAUGGUCGAAUCUGGACUUCGCAAGGGGGAUUAAGUCGUAACAAGGUAACC
Molecule: ribosomal RNA, 1438 nt
Filed under: uncultured haloarchaeon
Lineage: Archaea; Methanobacteriati; Methanobacteriota; Halobacteria; Halobacteriales; Halobacteriaceae
Description: bacterial SSU rRNA
Rfam family: Archaeal small subunit ribosomal RNA
Source: RNAcentral